This 334-nucleotide ribosomal RNA is filed under the name Orthetrum glaucum. Its description in RNAcentral is "partial 16S ribosomal RNA". Lineage: Eukaryota; Metazoa; Arthropoda; Insecta; Odonata; Libellulidae. The record is from RNAcentral.
UUGACUGUACAAAGGUAGCAUAAUCAUUAGUCUUUUAAUAGAGGGCUGGAAUGAAAGGUUUAACGAGGAACUGACUGUCUCAUUUUAUUUGUUUUAAAAUUUAAUUUUUUAGUUAAAAAGCUAAAAUUUUAUUGGUAGACGAGAAGACCCUAUAGAGCUUUACAUUUAAUUAAUUAAAUAUUUUUAUAUUAAUAUUUUUAUUUGAUUUUAUGUUUUGUUGGGGUGACAAAAAUAUAUAUAUAACUUUUUUAUAUUAUUUACAUUGAUUUAUGAAUAUUAGAUCCAUUAUUAUUGAUUAUUAGAUUAAGUUACCUUAGGGAUAACAGCGUAAUAU